GGGGAAUUUUCCGCAAUGGGCGAAAGCCUGACGGAGCAAUACCGCGUGAGGGAGGAAGGCUCUUGGGUUGUAAACCUCUUUUGUCAGGGAAGAAGAUCUGACGGUACCUGACGAAUCAGCAUCGGCUAACUCCGUGCCAGCAGCCGCGGUAAUACGGGGGAUGCAAGCGUUAUCCGGAAUUAUUGGGCGUAAAGCGUCCGCAGGUGGUUGUUCAAGUCUGCUGUUAAAGCGUGGGGCUUAACUCCAUAUAGGCAGUGGAAACUGAACGACUAGAGUACGGUAGGGGUCGCGGGAAUUCCCAGUGUAGCGGUGAAAUGCGUAGAUAUUGGGAAGAACACCAGUGGCGAAAGCGCGCGGCUGGACCUGUACUGACACUGAGGGACGAAAGCUAGGGGAGCGAAAGGGAUUAGAUACCCCUGUAGUCCUAGCUGUAAACGAUGGAUACUAGGUGUUGCCCGUAUCGACCCGGGCAGUGCCGUAGCUAACGCGUUAAGUAUCCCGCCUGGGGAGUACGCACGCAAGUGUGAAACUCAAAGGAAUUGACGGGGGCCCGCACAAGCGGUGGAGUAUGUGGUUUAAUUCGAUGCAACGCGAAGAACCUUACCAGGACUUGACAUGUCGCGAAUCUCGGUGAAAGCUGAGAGUGCCUUCGGGAGCGCGAACACAGGUGGUGCAUGGCUGUCGUCAGCUCGUGUCGUGAGAUGUUUGGGUUAAGUCCCGCAACGAGCGCAACCCUCGUUUUUAGUUGCCAGCAUUCAGUUGGGCACUCUAGAGAGACUGCCGGUGACAAACCGGAGGAAGGUGGGGAUGACGUCAAGUCAUCAUGCCCCUUACGUUCUGGGGCUACACACGUACUACAAUGCUAGGGACAAAGGGUCGCAAGCUCGCGAGAGCAAGCCAAUCCCGUAAACCCUGGCUCAGUUCAGAUUGCAGGCUGCAACUCGCCUGCAUGAAGGCGGAAUCGCUAGUAAUCGCAGGUCAGCAUACUGCGGUGAAUACGUUCCCGGGCCUUGUACACACCGCCCGUCACACCAUGGAAGUUGGUCACGCCCGAAGUCAUUACUUCAACCUUUCGAGGAGGAGGAUGCCGAAGGCAGGGCUGAUGACUGGGGUGAAGUCGUAACAAGGUAGCCGUACCGGAAGGUGUGGCUGGAUCACCUC
This 1161-nucleotide ribosomal RNA is filed under the name Leptolyngbyaceae cyanobacterium GSE-PSE39-07B. RNAcentral's name for it is "bacterial SSU rRNA". It matches the Rfam family "Bacterial small subunit ribosomal RNA", at positions 356 to 1529 of the family's 1533-position model. The record is from RNAcentral. Lineage: Bacteria; Bacillati; Cyanobacteriota; Cyanophyceae; Leptolyngbyales; Leptolyngbyaceae.